Molecule: small nuclear RNA, 93 nt
Filed under: Sorex araneus (European shrew)
Lineage: Eukaryota; Metazoa; Chordata; Mammalia; Eulipotyphla; Soricidae
Source: RNAcentral
UUGUUUUGCCAGCACAUGCACUAAAAUUGGAGCAGAGAAGAUCAGCAUGGAACCUGAGCAAGGAUCCAAUGCUAAUUCAUGCUCCUUAUUUUC